RNAcentral lists this ribosomal RNA (157 nucleotides) under uncultured bacterium. RNAcentral's name for it is "partial 16S ribosomal RNA". It matches the Rfam family "Bacterial small subunit ribosomal RNA", at positions 355 to 508 of the family's 1533-position model. The record is from RNAcentral.
UGAGGAAUAUUGGACAAUGGGCGCAAGCCUGAUCCAGCCAUGCCGCGUGCAGGAUGACGGUCCUAUGGAUUGUAAACUGCUUUUGUACAGGAAGAAACACUGGUUCGUGAACCCAGCUUGACGGUACUGUAAGAAUAAGGAUCGGCUAACUCCGUGC